Molecule: long non-coding RNA, 633 nt
Organism: Prunus persica (peach)
Lineage: Eukaryota; Viridiplantae; Streptophyta; Magnoliopsida; Rosales; Rosaceae
Exons: 4
Source: RefSeq, a predicted model, not a curated record
GAUGCUGCUGCUGCUGUUGCUGAGGAGGUGAAGAAGAACAACCAUGUAGUAAGAAAUUUGGAGAAGCGUCAACAGAUUUGCACCCUUGACCAGCAUAUUGAAGAGCAAUUUGGUGGUGGUCGUCUAUUGGCUUGUAUCUCAUCACGACUUGGACAGUGGCUGUGCUGAUGGGAUGGGAAAACAUUGGACAAUGAGUUGGAGGUUGUUGAGGGAAUGAAGCUAGACAGGGGCUACAUAUCCCCUUAUUUCAUCACCAACCAGAACAAUCAGAAAUGUGAAUUGAAAAAUCCUCUAAUCAUAAUCCAUGAGAAGAAAAUCUCAAGUAUUAAUGAUGUGGUUAAAGUAUUGGAGUUGGUUUUGCAAUUAUGAUUUCAGAUCUGUAGAUAACCUGUUGUUGCUGAUAUUGCUACACGGGAGGAGAAUAGAACAGCUUGGAAAAUGUGCAAGAAGGGAGAGCUAACUCAUACAAUGAAGAACAAAUUGAUGAAGUUAAGAUCAAAUUAGUAGAAUUUGUGAGCUCUCCAUUAUUUAUAAUUAUAGGUAGGAAGUAUGUAUGUAAUAGAGCAAAGAUUGGUUGACUAUGUAAUAACAAUUGAAUUGUCAAGUUUUAUGAAAGAAAUAAUUUUUGCUUCU